UCAAACGACUCUCGGCAACGGAUAUCUCGGCUCUUGCAUCGAUGAAGAACGUAGCGAAAUGCCAUACUUGGUGUGAAUUGCAGAAUCCCGUGAACCAUCGAGUCUUUGAACGCAAGUUGCGCCCGAGGCCAUUAGGUCGAGGGCACGUCUGCCUGGGCGUCACA
RNAcentral lists this ribosomal RNA (164 nucleotides) under Aconitum kusnezoffii. RNAcentral describes it as "5.8S ribosomal RNA". It matches the Rfam family "5.8S ribosomal RNA". Rfam says of the family: 5.8S ribosomal RNA (5.8S rRNA) is a component of the large subunit of the eukaryotic ribosome. It is transcribed by RNA polymerase I as part of the 45S precursor that also contains 18S and 28S rRNA. The record is from RNAcentral. Lineage: Eukaryota; Viridiplantae; Streptophyta; Magnoliopsida; Ranunculales; Ranunculaceae.